CUCAGGAGGCUGAGGCAGGAGGAUUGCUUGAGCCCAAGAGUUGGAGGCUUCCGUGAACCAAGAUUGCACCACCACUGCACUGCAGACUGGGUGACAGACAGUUUCUGGUUCAUCAGGCCUGGAUCGUGUCCCAAGAUUCUGCUUUUUAAUAAGCUCCUGGGUGAUGCCCAUGCUGCUGAUCCUCAUUCUCAAAACACCAAAAUUGGAAAGAGUUUUCAUGACUCUAUAAGAACUUAGGUAUAGUCCAUCUCGCCUUUCUCUUCCACCAUAAAUAUGAAUGAACUUUUCUUAGGUUAAAGAUAUUUAGAGGUGUUAGAGGAUCUGAUGCUAACUGCAACAAUAUUACCAAUGUAGUAAUUUUAACAACUUUUAAUCUAUUGUAAAAUUACCAAGUAAGGCCCAUGGUAAAUUUUAAUACAGAAGGAAUCAAAUUGUGAGAACAGAUGUUAAGAGCAAAUUAAUGGUUGGCGGAGGUCCAUCUCAUUCCCCAGGCCCUGAAAAUUUCCGAUUCUCUAAACCAAAGCGUGAUCACCACCUGCCCAAACUACUGACAUUGUAUCAUGCAA
RNAcentral lists this long non-coding RNA (566 nucleotides) under Pan troglodytes (chimpanzee). RNAcentral's name for it is "long non-coding RNA NONPTRT014527". Lineage: Eukaryota; Metazoa; Chordata; Mammalia; Primates; Hominidae. The record is from RNAcentral.